GCUGGGCAUAGUGGUGUAUGCCUGUAGUCCCAGCUACUUGGGAGGCUGAGGUGGGAGGAUCACUUGAGCCCAGGAGGUUGAGGCUGCACUGAGCUGUGAUUGCACCACUGCACUCCAACCUGGGUAACAGAGCGAGACCUUGUCUCAA
Molecule: non-coding RNA, 148 nt
Organism: Homo sapiens (human)
Lineage: Eukaryota; Metazoa; Chordata; Mammalia; Primates; Hominidae
Rfam family: Metazoan signal recognition particle RNA
About the family: The signal recognition particle (SRP) is a universally conserved ribonucleoprotein. It is involved in the co-translational targeting of proteins to membranes.
Source: Rfam